AUACUGACCUGGCAGGGGGGAUCCCAGGAUCAGGAAGGUGGUCUUCCCAGGGCGAGGCUCAUCCAUUGCACCCCGGAUGUGCCGACCCCUGCGGUUUCCCCAAACGUGGAGAACUCAGCUGCGUGAUUUGUGGUAGUGGGGGACACGUUUGCGCUCUCCCCUG
This is a small nuclear RNA of Oryctolagus cuniculus (rabbit), 163 nucleotides long. Its record names the gene U1. It matches the Rfam family "U1 spliceosomal RNA". From Rfam's summary of the family: U1 is a small nuclear RNA (snRNA) component of the spliceosome (involved in pre-mRNA splicing). The record is from Ensembl. NCBI's taxonomy places the organism in Eukaryota, Metazoa, Chordata, Mammalia, Lagomorpha, Leporidae.